Molecule: ribosomal RNA, 433 nt
Filed under: uncultured bacterium
Lineage: Bacteria
Description: partial 16S ribosomal RNA
Rfam family: Bacterial small subunit ribosomal RNA
Source: RNAcentral
AGCGAACGCUGGCGGCAGGCUUAACACAUGCAAGUCGAGCGGACCUUUCGGUGUCAGCGGCUGACGUGUGAGUAACGCGUGGGAACGUUCCUUCCGUUUCUGUAUAACCCUUGGUAACUAGGUCUAAUACCUUCUACGCCCUUAUGGGUAAAGGUUUAGUGCCGGAAGAUCGGCCCGCGUCUGAUUAGCUAGUUGGUGGGGUAACGUCCUACCAAGGCGACGAUCAGUAGCUGGUCUGAGAGGAUGAUCAGCCACACUGGGACUGAGACACGGCCCAGACUCCUACGGGAGGCAGCAGAGGGGAAUAUUGGACAAUGGGCGAAAGACUGAUCAAGCAAUGCCGCGUGAGUGAUGAAGGCCUUAGGGUUGUAAAGCUCUUUUAUCCGGGACGAUAAUGACGGUACCGGAGGAAUAAGCCCCGGCUAACUUCGUG